UCGAAGGAGAGAGAAAGGGCAGAUAAUUGGACUAGAGUUAAACUUCUCCUUUUGUCCAUAGGACAAAAAAAAUAUUUAAAUAAUAAACAAAAUUCCAAUGUUCUUUUAUUUUCUUAUUUUUGUAUUUUUAGUGGAAUACCAACUUCAUGUACACUUGGCUUAUUCAGCACCCAUAAAAUUCAAUGGACCACCAUCCGGACAAAAGGAUAAAAACAGAACACAUCAAGAUAAUGAAUUUUCUUCAAACUACUGAGGUACAAUGAAAAAUGGAAAUAUUAUCUCAGAAAUUACAACAGAGGGAUGAAGAUAUAGCAUAUGCUGUACCUAAAAGAUACAUCAAAUGGGACAUUGGGAAUAUGGAUUGAUGAAAUUUAAUUUGCGAUUGUCCUAUAAUGCCUUUUCAUUACAGUACCACACAAAUUGAGGCAAUAAAUGUAUAUUUGAUCAAAAAA
RNAcentral lists this long non-coding RNA (452 nucleotides) under Homo sapiens (human). RNAcentral describes it as "HSALNT0408881". Lineage: Eukaryota; Metazoa; Chordata; Mammalia; Primates; Hominidae. The record is from RNAcentral.